This 441-nucleotide ribosomal RNA is filed under the name uncultured bacterium. RNAcentral's name for it is "bacterial SSU rRNA". It matches the Rfam family "Bacterial small subunit ribosomal RNA", at positions 8 to 484 of the family's 1533-position model. The record is from RNAcentral.
AGAGUUUGAUCCUGGCUCAGAACGAACGCUGGCGGCAUGCCUUAUACAUGCAAGUCGAACGCGAAAGUACCUUCGGGUAUCAGUAGAGUGGCAAACGGGUGAGUAACGCGUGGGAAUAUACCUUAUAGUACGGAAUAGCCUUGGGAAACUGGGAUUAAUACCGUAUACGCCCUUAGGGGGAAAGAUUUAUCGCUAUAAGAUUAGCCCGCGUCAGAUUAGCUAGUUGGUGGGGUAAUGGCCUACCAAGGCAACGAUCUGUAGCUGGUCUGAGAGGACGAUCAGCCACAUUGGGACUGAGACACGGCCCAAACUCCUACGGGAGGCAGCAGUAGGGAAUAUUGGACAAUGGGCGAAAGCCUGAUCCAGCAAUGCCGCGUGAAUGAUGAAGGCCUUAGGGUUGUAAAGUUCUUUUAGUGGGGAAGAUAAUGACGGUACCCACAG